UACGUAGGGUGCGAGCGUUGUCCGGAAUUACUGGGCGUAAAGAGCUCGUAGGUGGUUUGUCACGUCGUCUGUGAAAUUCCAGGGCUUAACCUCGGGCGUGCAGGCGAUACGGGCAAUACUUGAGUGCUGUAGGGGAGACUGGAAUUCCUGGUGUAGCGGUGAAAUGCGCAGAUAUCAGGAGGAACACCGAUGGCGAAGGCAGGUCUCUGGGCCACUACUGACGCUGAGAAGCGAAAGCAUGGGGAGCGAACAGGAUUAGA
RNAcentral lists this ribosomal RNA (260 nucleotides) under uncultured prokaryote. RNAcentral describes it as "partial 16S ribosomal RNA". It matches the Rfam family "Bacterial small subunit ribosomal RNA", at positions 524 to 782 of the family's 1533-position model. The record is from RNAcentral.